AUGGAGCACUCUCCAGGAAGUUUCACUAGGAUGCUCAAUAAUUGCUCAAGCCAAGAUCCAGAAAAUCGAAACUAUACCCCAUCUGCCACCCCACCUCACCAGUUCACAAGUGCUUCAUCCUCUCAGCAUGGGCAAUAUUUGCAUCCCAUGUAUGCACAAAACAUGUAUCCAUUUCCACCUCCACAUACCUCAGGUUUCCAAGCAGCACAUGGAGUGUAUGGAGGAGGUUCAUAUGGUCAUUCAUCUUCUGCAGCCGCCGGCUUCACCGGGAUUGAUCCACAUGCUAGGAUCAACCAAGAUGCCGGAUAUUUUCAUUAUUCGCCUCAGCCUCCUGCAUCAAUACAUAGGGCAGAAGAAGUAGAUCAGCAAGAGUCAAGUGGAAGUAGUCCCGGUGAAGCAGAAGAACCUAUUGCUAAGAGGAGAAAUUGGACAGAGGAAGAAAAUAAGCGGCUUGUCAAUGCUUGGUUGGAAAAUUCUCUCGAUCCAGUAGAUGGUAACUCCAAGAAAUCAGACCAGUAUUGGAAAGCAGUUGAGAAAGACUACAACAGCGUCACUCCGAAAAAGAGGCAAAGAUCUGCCAAGAUGUUGAAAGACCAUUGGAGUAAGCAAAACAAAUUUGUGACUCAGUUUGCUGGGUGUCAUUCCGUGCAACACAGUGUGUAUCCUAGUGGGUAUGAUGACAAUAUGUUUAUGGAUAUGGUAAGAGCAGAUUACAAGGAGAAAUACAAAAAAAGAUUCACGCUAGAAUAUUGGUGGGAUAUGGUGAAAGAAAUGCCAAAGUGGAAAAAUACUUACUUACUAGAGAAGGAUGAAGCGAGAAAGAGAGGCAAGACCUCAGAAACAGGGGCUUACAUUUCUUCUUCUAGUAAAGAUGCUGAAGAAUCAGUGGACAGACAAUUGGAACGUCGUCCUCCGGGACAGAAGGGCGCAAAACGCAAAGGAAAGGCACCAGCAAAGGCCGACUCUUCUUCAAGCAACCUGCCAGAUCCAACUAUGCAACUAUAUCAUGAUGCCAUAGCAAGAAAAUCAGCUGCAAUAGAGAUGGCUGCAGAAGCAAGAAAGGAGAAGGCAUCUGCAAUGAAAGAUUACGCUGCUGCCACACUUGAGAAGGCAAGAACCAAAAAAUUGAGCAAGUAUAUGAAGUUACUGGAGACAGACACAUCCGGAUAUGAUGCAGCAAAGCUACAGCGAUAUAACCAGCUUCUGAAUCUUCUAGGCAUGGAGCUAUCUAUUUAA
This 1236-nucleotide ribosomal RNA is filed under the name Triticum aestivum (bread wheat). RNAcentral describes it as "partial small subunit ribosomal RNA". Lineage: Eukaryota; Viridiplantae; Streptophyta; Magnoliopsida; Poales; Poaceae. The record is from RNAcentral.